RNAcentral lists this ribosomal RNA (245 nucleotides) under uncultured bacterium. RNAcentral describes it as "partial 16S ribosomal RNA". It matches the Rfam family "Bacterial small subunit ribosomal RNA", at positions 524 to 768 of the family's 1533-position model. The record is from RNAcentral.
UACGUAGGGGGCGAGCGUUGUCCGGAGUUACUGGGCGUAAAGGGCAUGCAGGCGGUCAGGCGCGUUUUGUGUGACAGCGGGUGGCUUAACUACCCGAGGAUACGAAAGACGGCGUGACUUGAGAGCGCGAGAGGGACACGGAAUUCCGGGUGGAGUGGUGAAAUGCGUAGAGAUCCGGAGGAACACCGAAGGCGAAGGCAGUGUCCUGGCGCGUAUCUGACGCUGAGGUGCGAAAGCCAGGGGAG